RNA transcript from Varanus komodoensis (Komodo dragon), 1626 nucleotides. It is a transcript of the gene named DNA polymerase gamma 2, accessory subunit, with no coding region annotated. The record is from RefSeq and is a predicted model, not a curated record. NCBI's taxonomy places the organism in Eukaryota, Metazoa, Chordata, Lepidosauria, Squamata, Varanidae. The transcript has 8 exons.
CCGGGCGGCUCUCCGUGUCGCGUGAGCGGCCUUUUCUCUUUGCUCUGCAUGGCCGCCAGCGGGACGCGUGGCUCCGGGUGUUCGCUGUGCGGGAGGAACCUUGGGCUCUCCAGACAGCAAAAACCUGCACGGAGGGGGCGGCUAGUGGAGCAGACGCCGCCGGAUGGAGUGCGCCGACUGCACAGCCACGGCCCCGCCGGAGACCCGGGCGUGCCGGCGAGGCUUCCUGGCGCUGCCGCCGCUUCCUUGGUCGCCCAGCGGCGUCAUUACGCGGCUUCUCCCAGCAGCGGUGGCAGUAGUUGCGGCGUUGGAGAGCAGCCCUGCGGGGUUCCUGAAACCCUCCUGGAUAUCUGUCAGAGAAGGCAUUUCCUCAGGGCACCGGCGGAGGGGGGGCAGCGGCUCAGCUGGGACGCCUUCCGGGAGGGAGCCCAGCCGGGCUUCGGGCCUCUCGGGGCGAGCUUGCGGAAGAACCUGGCCGCGCAGUGGUGGGAGUCCGUGGUCCUGUUCAGGGAGCAGGUGCUGGGAGUGGAAGCCCCGCUGCAUCGCCCUGCACACGCGGGCGGCGCGCCUCCGGGCGAUGCCCUCCGCGUGGUGCACCCGCGAGCCCUCCGCGAAGCCCUGGAGGGCGGCGAGUUGAGCGGGCAGCAGGCGCCCGCGUUCCUGCAGAAGACUGGGGUGCUUCGGGACAGUCUUCUGCACGGUGCCUUGGAACAUUAUGUUGAAUGCCUGGAAUUGGUUAACAAGAGAUUGCCAUUUGGGAUCGCUCAGAUAGGAGUAUGUUUCCAUUCAGUAACAAAAAAUGAAAAGGAGAAUUACAUAAGCACAGGUGAAAAGACAUUGGCCUCCUUAGUAUGGUACAGCGCUGCCAGAACUGCUGGACAAUGGCUUGACUAUUGGCUACGCCAUCGGCUACAGUGGUGGAGAAAGUUUGCAAUAAGCCCAUCCAACUUCAGCAGUGGGGAUUAUCAUGAAGAAGGAAGAAGAAGAAUCAAUUUGUAUUACAGCUUUCCUUGGGGAAAGGAAAUAAUCGAAACUUUGUGGAUGCUAGGAGAUAAUGAACUGCUACAGAUGUAUCCAGGAAAUGAAUCUAGCUUGCAUGGUCGAGAUGGGAGGAAAAAUGUUGUUCCUCAUAUCCUGUCUGUGAGUAGCGAUCUGGACAGUGGAGUGUUAGCCUAUCUCUGUGAUGGCAUGCAGUUGGCUGAAAAUGCCUCAGCAAGGAAGAAAGUUUUUCAGAGAAAGGUACUUAAGCUUCACCCAUGCUUGACACCAUUCAAAGUAUCUUUGGAUCUGGGAAAGGGCCCCACAACAGAGUUGAGACAGGUGAGGUGUGCCAGGAAUUGUACAAGGAGUUGUUAGAAAAUGGAAUUUCUGUUUGGCCUGGAUAUCUUGACACCAUGCAGUCAUCAAUGGAGGAGUUGUAUGCAAAGUAUGAUGAAAUGAGUGUUCUUUUCACAGUCAUGUUCACUGACACGACGCUAGAGAACGGUGUGAUCCAGCUGAGAAGCAGGGACACCAGCAUGAAAGAAAUGAUGCACAUAUCUCGAUUAAAGGACUUUUUAACAAAGUAUAUUUCAGCAGCUAAAAAUGUCUGAUAUAAAGUCAAUAAAGACAAUUUUUUAAAUCUUC